GGGCCGUUAGCUCAAUGGUGGAGCAGGCGCCUCUUAAGCGCAAGGCUACUGGUUCGAGUCCAGUACGGCCCACAA
RNAcentral lists this transfer RNA (75 nucleotides) under Elusimicrobia bacterium GWA2_56_46. Its description in RNAcentral is "tRNA-Lys". It matches the Rfam family "tRNA". From Rfam's summary of the family: Transfer RNA (tRNA) molecules are approximately 80 nucleotides in length. Their secondary structure includes four short double-helical elements and three loops (D, anti-codon, and T loops). RNAcentral also lists the same sequence under 2 other names. The record is from RNAcentral. Lineage: Bacteria; Pseudomonadati; Elusimicrobiota.